RNAcentral lists this ribosomal RNA (523 nucleotides) under uncultured bacterium. RNAcentral describes it as "partial 16S ribosomal RNA". It matches the Rfam family "Bacterial small subunit ribosomal RNA", at positions 28 to 523 of the family's 1533-position model. The record is from RNAcentral.
GACGAACGCUGGCGGCGUGCCUAAUACAUGCAAGUCGAACGCUUUUUCUUUCACCGGAGCUUGCUCCACCGAAAGAAAAAGAGUGGCGAACGGGUGAGUAACACGUGGGUAACCUGCCCAUCAGAAGGGGAUAACACUUGGAAGCAGGUGCUAAUACCGUAUAACACUAUUUUCCGCAUGGAAGAAAGUUGAAAGGCGCUUUUGCGUCACUGAUGGAUGGACCCGGGGUGCAUUAGCUAGUUGGUGAGGUAACGGCUCACCAAGGCAACGAUGCAUAGCCGACCUGAGAGGGUGAUCGGCCACACUGGGACUGAGACACGGCCCAGACUCCUACGGGAGGCAGCAGUAGGGAAUCUUCGGCAAUGGACGAAAGUCUGACCGAGCAACGCCGCGUGAGUGAAGAAGGUUUUCGGAUCGUAAAACUCUGUUGUUAGAGAAGAACAAGGAUGAGAGUAGAACGUUCAUCCCUUGACGGUAUCUAACCAGAAAGCCACGGCUAACUACGUGCCAGCAGCCGCGGUAA